GCCUGGGUGACGGCGGGACAGAGACGUGCUCGCAGGACAGCAGGGGCGCUGGCCAACCCUCGCCCCCGCCCCCGGACCGGCUUUGCACACGCUGCUGUGGCCCGCUGGCGCGCUCCCGCGCGGUCCUCCUGGGCUCCACUCUGUCCUCGCCCGCAGGCCGGGCCUCACCUGGAAACCGUGCCGAUGGGCAGGCCCGCUGCCAGCAGGCGAUUCGCGGAGUGGACCUCAAUUUGGAAACGUGAACUUCAUCACUAAUGUGAGCUGGGUUCGUAGGCACCACCCAGACCACGUAAAAUGACGACAAAGAGGCUUCGAGUGUGUGGAAAGUAAACCCCACCUCCCCGGUUACCGUAGAAACGUGUUUGCAAGUUCAGCCCUCUGCCUCCAGGAUGCACGGCUGCAGUGUUCUUAAAGGGCCGGUCUGUGUGGCCUGUCCGUGGCCCGGCACAUGUGUCUCGUGCACAGAGGAAUUUAGUAAAAAUUCUCUGGCUGCUUCGUGAAUGUAAGCUUAAAUGCCUGCACUCAGGGACAGGAAACCAGCUGAGCACUUCCCUCGCCCGGCAAAGGAGAGUCCGAGCUUAGGAACCAGAGUCCACAGCGGGGGCUGCCGUCCUGG
This is a long non-coding RNA of Prionailurus viverrinus (fishing cat), 616 nucleotides long. RefSeq lists it as uncharacterized. The transcript has 3 exons. Lineage: Eukaryota; Metazoa; Chordata; Mammalia; Carnivora; Felidae. The record is from RefSeq and is a predicted model, not a curated record.